RNAcentral lists this ribosomal RNA (1528 nucleotides) under Enterobacter sp. MGH 22. Its description in RNAcentral is "bacterial SSU rRNA". It matches the Rfam family "Bacterial small subunit ribosomal RNA". Lineage: Bacteria; Pseudomonadati; Pseudomonadota; Gammaproteobacteria; Enterobacterales; Enterobacteriaceae. The record is from RNAcentral.
AGAGUUUGAUCAUGGCUCAGAUUGAACGCUGGCGGCAGGCCUAACACAUGCAAGUCGAACGGUAGCACAGAGAGCUUGCUCUCGGGUGACGAGUGGCGGACGGGUGAGUAAUGUCUGGGAAACUGCCUGAUGGAGGGGGAUAACUACUGGAAACGGUAGCUAAUACCGCAUAACGUCGCAAGACCAAAGAGGGGGACCUUCGGGCCUCUUGCCAUCAGAUGUGCCCAGAUGGGAUUAGCUAGUAGGUGGGGUAACGGCUCACCUAGGCGACGAUCCCUAGCUGGUCUGAGAGGAUGACCAGCCACACUGGAACUGAGACACGGUCCAGACUCCUACGGGAGGCAGCAGUGGGGAAUAUUGCACAAUGGGCGCAAGCCUGAUGCAGCCAUGCCGCGUGUAUGAAGAAGGCCUUCGGGUUGUAAAGUACUUUCAGCGGGGAGGAAGGUGAUGAGGUUAAUAACCACAUCAAUUGACGUUACCCGCAGAAGAAGCACCGGCUAACUCCGUGCCAGCAGCCGCGGUAAUACGGAGGGUGCAAGCGUUAAUCGGAAUUACUGGGCGUAAAGCGCACGCAGGCGGUCUGUCAAGUCGGAUGUGAAAUCCCCGGGCUCAACCUGGGAACUGCAUUCGAAACUGGCAGGCUAGAGUCUUGUAGAGGGGGGUAGAAUUCCAGGUGUAGCGGUGAAAUGCGUAGAGAUCUGGAGGAAUACCGGUGGCGAAGGCGGCCCCCUGGACAAAGACUGACGCUCAGGUGCGAAAGCGUGGGGAGCAAACAGGAUUAGAUACCCUGGUAGUCCACGCCGUAAACGAUGUCGACUUGGAGGUUGUGCCCUUGAGGCGUGGCUUCCGGAGCUAACGCGUUAAGUCGACCGCCUGGGGAGUACGGCCGCAAGGUUAAAACUCAAAUGAAUUGACGGGGGCCCGCACAAGCGGUGGAGCAUGUGGUUUAAUUCGAUGCAACGCGAAGAACCUUACCUACUCUUGACAUCCAGAGAACUUUCCAGAGAUGGAUUGGUGCCUUCGGGAACUCUGAGACAGGUGCUGCAUGGCUGUCGUCAGCUCGUGUUGUGAAAUGUUGGGUUAAGUCCCGCAACGAGCGCAACCCUUAUCCUUUGUUGCCAGCGGUUCGGCCGGGAACUCAAAGGAGACUGCCAGUGAUAAACUGGAGGAAGGUGGGGAUGACGUCAAGUCAUCAUGGCCCUUACGAGUAGGGCUACACACGUGCUACAAUGGCGCAUACAAAGAGAAGCGACCUCGCGAGAGCAAGCGGACCUCAUAAAGUGCGUCGUAGUCCGGAUUGGAGUCUGCAACUCGACUCCAUGAAGUCGGAAUCGCUAGUAAUCGUAGAUCAGAAUGCUACGGUGAAUACGUUCCCGGGCCUUGUACACACCGCCCGUCACACCAUGGGAGUGGGUUGCAAAAGAAGUAGGUAGCUUAACCUUCGGGAGGGCGCUUACCACUUUGUGAUUCAUGACUGGGGUGAAGUCGUAACAAGGUAACCGUAGGGGAACCUGCGGUUGGAUCACCU